Molecule: ribosomal RNA, 229 nt
Filed under: uncultured bacterium
Lineage: Bacteria
Description: partial 16S ribosomal RNA
Rfam family: Bacterial small subunit ribosomal RNA
Source: RNAcentral
AGUGAACGCUGGCGGCAGGCCUAACACAUGCAAGUCGAGCGGCAGCGCGGGUGUAGCAAUACAUCUGGCGGCGAGCGGCGGACGGGUGAGGAAUACAUCGGAAUUUACCCAAUCGUGGGGGAGUAACGUAGGGAAACGUUACGCUAAUACCGCAUGAACUGGAGACAGCAAAGACGGCGGACCGAAAGGACGUCGCGCGGUUGGAUGAGCCGAUGUCGGAUUAGCUAGU